UGAACGCUGGCGGCGUGCCUAAUACAUGCAAGUCGAGCGAACAGACGAGGAGCUUGCUCCUCUGCCGUUAGCGGCGGACGGGUGAGUAACACGUGGAUAACCUACCUAUAAGACUGGGAUAACUUCGGGAAACCGGAGCUAAUACCGGAUAAUAUAUUGAACCGCAUGGUUCAAUAGUGAAAGACGGUUUUGCUGUCACUUAUAGAUGGAUCCGCGCCGCAUUAGCUAGUUGGUAAGAUAACGGCUUACCAAGGCAACGAUGCGUAGCCGACCUGAGAGGGUGAUCGGCCACACUGGAACUGAGACACGGUCCAGACUCCUACGGGAGGCAGCAGUAGGGAAUCUUCCGCAAUGGGCGAAAGCCUGACGGAGCAACGCCGCGUGAGUGAUGAAGGUCUUCGGAUCGUAAAACUCUGUUAUUAGGGAAGAACAAAUGUGUAAGUAACUAUGCACGUCUUGACGGUACCUAAUCAGAAAGCCACGGCUAACUACGUG
RNAcentral lists this ribosomal RNA (495 nucleotides) under uncultured bacterium. RNAcentral describes it as "partial 16S ribosomal RNA". It matches the Rfam family "Bacterial small subunit ribosomal RNA", at positions 30 to 507 of the family's 1533-position model. The record is from RNAcentral.